AACGAACGCUGGCGGCAGGCUUAACACAUGCAAGUCGAACGCAUCCUUCGGGGUGAGUGGUAGACGGAUGAGUAACGCGUGGGAACGUGCCCUUCAGUUCGGGAUAACCCAGGGAAACUUGGGCUAAUACCGGAUACGUGCGAGAGCAGAAAGAUUUAUCGCUGAAGGAUCGGCCCGCGUCUGAUUAGCUAGUUGGUGGGGUAAUGGCCCACCAAGGCGACGAUCAGUAGCGGGUCUGAGAGGAUGAUCAGCCACAUUGGGACUGAGACACGGCCCAAACUCCUACGGGAGGCAGCAGUGGGGAAUAUUGGACAAUGGGCGCAAGCCUGAUCCAGCCAUGCCGCGUGAGUGAUGAAGGCCUUAGGGUUGUAAAGCUCUUUCGUCCGGGACGAUAAUGACGGUACCGGAAGAAGAAGCCCCGGCUAACUUCGUGCCAGCCGCCGCAGUAA
This 449-nucleotide ribosomal RNA is filed under the name uncultured bacterium. RNAcentral's name for it is "partial 16S ribosomal RNA". It matches the Rfam family "Bacterial small subunit ribosomal RNA", at positions 29 to 523 of the family's 1533-position model. The record is from RNAcentral.